This 303-nucleotide ribosomal RNA is filed under the name uncultured Methanolinea sp. Its description in RNAcentral is "bacterial SSU rRNA". It matches the Rfam family "Archaeal small subunit ribosomal RNA", at positions 1035 to 1338 of the family's 1478-position model. Lineage: Archaea; Methanobacteriati; Methanobacteriota; Methanomicrobia; Methanomicrobiales; Methanoregulaceae. The record is from RNAcentral.
CAGGCAACGAGCGAGACCCACGCCAACAGUUGCCAGCAUGUCCUCCGGGAUGAUGGGGACACUGUUGGGACCGCCUCUGCUAAAGAGGAGGAAGGAAUGGGCAACGGUAGGUCAGCAUGCCCCGAAUUAUCCGGGCUACACGCGGGCUACAAUGGUCAGGACAAUGGGUAUCGACACCGAGAGGUGGAGGCAAUCUCCUAAACCUGUCCUUAGUUCGAAUUGUGGGCUGCAACUCGCCCACAUGAAGCUGGAAUCCGUAGUAAUCGCGUUUCAAAUAGCGCGGUGAAUAUGUCCCUGCUCCUU